GUUGGCCAUACCAGGUGCCUUGAUUGGAGGGGAGGCCUUGUCAACCUAAUUUCAGGAACAGGUGAACAUCACGCACUUUGCAGCUGUGUUUUUCUCCCGACUGGCAGCUACACACCUUUCCUCUGCAACCAUCCUGCCUGAGAGUUUAAGUGCAUGUUAUCUGUGGGACCUCGUGCAAUCCAGUUUUCUUAUAGAACUGCAUGCUUAUGUGAGCAUUCUGUUCCCCAAAUAAUAACUCCACAGUUUCCAUGCUCUCUCCAAACUCUUGCAGUCUUUUGUCAUCUUGUUGGUUCCCUUACUAGCAAAUUAACUCGUUUAGACUCGGAGAGCCCUGCCAGUUGAAGUCCAGCUGGGAAGAAAUCCAGGACCAGGAACCUUUCCAAAAGGUGCAGAUCAAAUGGAAAUGUUGCCAGGAGGCCACGAAGACCCAGGGAUUCAUGACUGUCCAGGACUCUUCCUCACCACCAAGGCUUCCAGCUCACAGCGUUUAAGGGGUGUAGGCUGGCCUAGAGAAAGCAGGAGGACAGGGGCCCCUUAGCAGGCAACAAGGACCAAC
This 556-nucleotide long non-coding RNA is filed under the name Homo sapiens (human). Its description in RNAcentral is "HSALNT0258502". Lineage: Eukaryota; Metazoa; Chordata; Mammalia; Primates; Hominidae. The record is from RNAcentral.